CCUACGGGUGGCAGCAGUGAGGAAUAUUGGUCAAUGGGCGGAAGCCUGAACCAGCCAAGUCGCGUGAGGGAAUAAGGCCCUACGGGUCGUAAACCUCUUUUGCCGGGGAGCAAGGGCGGGGACGUGUCCCGGCCCGGAGAGUGCCCGGAGAAAAAGCAUCGGCUAACUCCGUGCAAGCAGCCGCGGGAAUACGGAGGAUGCGAGCGUUAUCCGGAUUUAUUGGGUUUAAAGGGGGCGUAGGCCGCAUGUCAAGCGUGCUGUGAAAUGUCCGGGCUCAACCCGGGCCUUGCAGCGCGAACUGGCGUGCUUGAGUCCGCGGAAGGCAGGCGGAAUUCGUCGUGUAGCGGUGAAAUGCUUAGAUAUGACGAAGAACCCCGAUUGCGAAGGCAGCUUGCUGCAGCGGAACUGACGCUGAUGCUCGAAAGCGCGGGUAUCGAACAGGAUUAGAUACCCCUGUAGUC
This 461-nucleotide ribosomal RNA is filed under the name uncultured bacterium. RNAcentral's name for it is "partial 16S ribosomal RNA". It matches the Rfam family "Bacterial small subunit ribosomal RNA", at positions 338 to 795 of the family's 1533-position model. The record is from RNAcentral.